CUAGUUUUCCUUAUAUUUCUUUGUUAUAUCUAAUUUCAAUUCAUCGUAGUCUACACUAUGAAUUAGCAGGGUUUUGGCACAGUCUCUACCCAUAGAAUCCAAUGAAUAAAACAUGAUUUAUGAAGAUUUAUUGGAUAAAACCAAUCACUGGAGGAAAUGUGAAAAUGACUUGAAUUCAGAUUGUGUAUUUCAGCGUGUUAUUUCUUAUGUAUGUUAUGGUAUACACACUAAGUUUGUUGAUAUGUAGUGUAGACAUUGUUUGAAGAUGCAUGCGAAUUUAAUCUGCUCACCAGAGUAAUUCGCACAUUUUGUCAAUUUCUCUUGUCUUCAAUUGGCAAAUGUAUGUUGCCAUAUAUAACUUUGAAGUACAUUUUCAUGGCACUUGAAUUAAACAUAUUUUUGGCGUCGUAUGCAAAUAUAUGCUGACGUAAAAGAUCAUGUGGUUUUUGUCGUAGAUCUAUGAACGACGACCUUUUUUUUCUUCCUACUGUUGUCUUUAGGUUAUGCCAGAAUCUUUAGAAUUACCAGCGCUAUAUGCGCGUCACCACAGACUACUUAUAAUUGGGAAUUUUACUGCUAGUUUAUCGUCCCAGCACCGAAAGGCUCUAGGCAGAUUCCAGAAGAGGCUACCCAGAGUGCCGCUGGACCGGAGACCAAAGGAGAGCUGGAGAGGGAAGAGAGUGGAGGCGGAACUGGAGCCAGAUAGGACACCUCCACCCAGGGAAGCCCCACCCUACUGCGGAAGUGCAGUGAGUACCUUUUCACCACGGGGCAACACUCCGGUGGGGGUGGGAUGCACAGCGGGGAAACCGGUACCAGUCUAGUACAAUUGUAUUGGCUAUGCUUGCUCAAAUAGGCCCUCUUUAGACUUAGCAAUUACAAUCGGCUCUGCCUUUCAUUGACAUAAUAAUGUGCACUUUUUCAAUUUUAUUUUAUGUGACUCGUUUCAGCAAACUAGGUGUAUGUCACCUGUCACUACUUUCUAGGAGAGGCAUUUAAAUGUACUUUUUUUAAUCAAAAUGAGUUUUUUGGCAGAAAUGCCUUCUGGAACAUGUGAACUUUCAUGUGCCUUAUUAACAAUUUGUAUGCCAUCUGUAAAUAUUAAUACAAUUGUUAAAUUAUGAGCCUAGUUGGUUUAGCCACGGAUUGGUCUGCCAUGUAGCAAGCUUCUGUCUAUAACAUGAGCUGGUCAGUAUGUGUAGGUGGUCCUUUUCUAGCACAGCUUUUUUGAAAAGUAUCACGUAGGGGAACUGCAAAGGUGUUGCGCUCCACUUUCUGGAGGAGCGAGUUUUGAAAUCAGUGGAAUUAGAGUAUGAUAGCGAAGGAGAUGGAGAAAAUUCUGGCGUUUUGAUUGCAAAUUUUCAGAGGGAGUCGAAAAGAAACACACCGACGGCUGUUGUAUAAAACACCUGUCUCCAGAUUACAUCUUCAAACUCAGGGCAAUCAUGACAGAGGGAGAAGCGUCCAUCCAUGUACAGUACCAGUCAAAAGUUUGGAUACCUACUAAUUUUUCUUUAUUAUUUUUACUAUUUUCUACAUUGUAGUAUAAUGGUGAAGACAAACUAUAAAAUGACACAUGGAAUGAUGUAGUAACCAAAAAAGUGUUAAACAAAUCAACAUAUAUAUUUUUUGAAUUUCUUAAAGUAGCCACCCUUUGCCUUUGACAGCUAUGCACACUUUUGGCAUUCUCUCAACCAGCUGCAUGAUGUAGUCACCUGUAGAGGUCGACCGAUUAAUCGGAGUGGCCGAUUUAAUUGGGGCCGAUUUUCAUAACAAUCGUUUUCAUAACAAUCGGAAAUCGUUAUCUUUGGACACUGAUUUGGACAAUUUUUAUUUUAUAUUAUUUAUUUUAUUUAAUCUUUAUUUAACAAGUCAGUUAAGAACACAUUCUUAUUUUCAAUGACGACCUAGGAACGGUGGGUUAACUGCCUCGUUCAGGGGCAGAACGACAGAUUUUUACCUCGUCAGCUCGGGGGAUUCAAUCUUGCAACCUUACAGUUAACUAGUCCAACGCUCUAACCACCUGAUUACAUUGCACUCCACGAGGAGACUGCCUGUUACGCGAAUGCAGUAAGCCUAGGUAAGUUUCUAGCUAGCAUUAAACUUAUCUUAUAAAAAUCAAUCAUAAUCACUAGUUAACUACACAUGGAUGAUGAUAUUACUAGUUUAUCUAGUGUGUCCUGCGUUGCAUAUAAUCGAUGCGGUGCGUAUCGUUGCUCCAAUGUGUCCCUAACCAUAAACAUCAAUGCUUUUCUUAAAAUCAAUACACAGAAGUAUAUAUUUUUAAACCUGCAUAUUUAACUAAAAGAAAUCCAGGUUAGCAGGCAAUAUUAACCAGGUGAAAUUGUGUCACUUCUCUUGCGUUCAUUGUACGCAGAGUCAGUGUAUAUGCAACAGUUUGGGCCGCCUAAUUUGACAGAAUGUUACGUAAUUAUGACAUAACAUUGAAGGUUGUGCAAUGUAAUAGGAAUAUUUAGACUUAUGGAUGCCACCCGUUAGAUAAAAUACUGAACGGUUCUGUAUUUCACUGAAAGAAUAAACAUCUUGUUUUCAAGAUGAUAGUUUCCGGAUUCGGCCAUAUUAAUGACCUAAGGCUCGUAUUUCUGUGUGUUAUUACGUUAUAACUAAGUCUAUGAUUUCAUAAAGCAGUUUGACUGAGCGAUGGUAGGCAGCAGCAGGCACUUUUGUGUGUUUGCCAGGAUCUGUUUAUGACUUCAAGCUUAGAUUGAGAUUAGGCUGGUGUGACCGAUGUGAAAUGGCUAGCUAGUUAGCGGGGUGCGUGCUAAUAGCGUUUCAAACGUCACUCGCCCUGAGACUUGGAGUGGUUGUUCCCCUUGCUCUGCAUGGGUAACGCUGCUUCAAGGGUGGCUGUUGUCGUUGUGUUCCUGGUUUGAGCCUGAGGAGAGGGACGGAAGUUAUACUGUUACACUGGCAAUAUUAAAGUGCCUAUAAGAACAUCCAAUAGUCAAAGGUUAAUGAAAUACAAAUGGUAUAGAGAGAGAGAGUCCUAUAAUUCCUAUAAUAACUACAAUCUAAAACUUCUUACCUGGGAAUAUUUAUGACUCAUGUUAAAAGGAACCACCAGCUUUCAUCUGUUCUGAGCAAGGAACUUAAACGUUAGCUCUCUUACAUGGCGCAUAUUGCACUUUUACUUUCUUCAACACUUUGUUUUUGCAUUAUUUAAACCAAAUUGAAGAUGUUUCAUUAUUUAUUUGAGGCUAAAUUGAUUUUAUUGAUGUAUUAUAUUCAGUUAAAAUAAGUGUUCAUUCAGUAUUGUUGUAAUUGUCAUUAUUACAAAUACAUUUUUAAAAAUCAGCUGAUUAAUUGGUAUCGGCUUUUUUUGGUCCUCCAAUAAUCUGUAUCGGCAUUGAAAAAUCAUAAUUGGUUGACCUCUAGUCACCUGGAAUGCGUUUCAAUUAACAUGUGUGCCAAUCAGUUGUAUUGUGACAAGGUAUGGGUGGUAUACAGAAGAUGGCCCUAUUUGGUGAAGACCAUGUCCAUAUUAUGGCAAGAACAGCUCAAAUAAGCAAAGAGAAACGACAGUCCAUUACUUUAAGACAUGAAGGUCAGUCAAUGUGGAAACUUUCAAGAACUUUGAAAGUUUCUUCAAGUGCAGUUGCAAAAACCAAGCGCUAUUAUGAAACUGGCUAUCAUGAGGACCACCACAGGAAAGGAAGACCCAGAGUUACAGUGAGGGAAGGAAGUAUUUGAUCCCCUGCUGAUUUUGUACGUUUGCCUACUGACAAAGAAAUGAUCAGUAUUAUUUUAAUGGUAGGUUUAUUUGAACAGUGAGAGACAGAAUAACAACAAAAUCCAGAAAAACGCAUGUCAAAACUGUUAUAAAUUGAUUUGCAUUUUAAUGAGGAAAAUAAGUAUUUGACCCCCUCUCAAUCAGAAAGAUUUCUGGCUCCCAGGUGUCUUUUAUACAGGUAACGAGCAGAGAUUAGGAGCACACUCUUAAAGGGAGUGCUCCUAAUCUCAGUUUGUUACCUGUAUUAAUGACACCUGUCCACAGAAGCAAUCAAUCAAUCAGAUUCCAAACUCUCCACCAUGGCCAAGACCAAAGAACUCUCCUAGGAUGUCAGGGACAAGAUUGUAGACCUACACAAGGCUGGAAUGGGCUACAAGACCAUCGCAAAGCAGCUUGGUGAGAAAGGUGACAACAGUUGGUGUGAUUAUUCGCAAAUGGAAGAAACACAAAAUAACUGUCAAUCUCCCUCGGCCUGGGGCUCUAUGCAAGA
Molecule: long non-coding RNA, 4241 nt
Filed under: Oncorhynchus mykiss (rainbow trout)
Lineage: Eukaryota; Metazoa; Chordata; Actinopteri; Salmoniformes; Salmonidae
Description: lncRNA (ENSOMYG00000048534.1)
Source: RNAcentral